UCUGGCGUCAAUAGCCUGCUGGUACCACCCCUUCCCUUCCCGAACAGGACCGUGAAACAGCAUCGCGCCAAUGAUAGUGAGCUUACCGCUCGCGAAAGUAGGUCAACGCCAGAC
Dechloromonas aromatica RCB is the source of this 114-nucleotide non-coding RNA. The record is from Rfam. Lineage: Bacteria; Pseudomonadati; Pseudomonadota; Betaproteobacteria; Rhodocyclales; Azonexaceae.